Folsomia candida is the source of this 1052-nucleotide long non-coding RNA. RefSeq lists it as uncharacterized. The record is from RefSeq and is a predicted model, not a curated record. The transcript is spliced from 2 exons. NCBI's taxonomy places the organism in Eukaryota, Metazoa, Arthropoda, Collembola, Entomobryomorpha, Isotomidae.
CCAAGGGUUUUCACCGGACGAGUAUCGAUUUUGACAACGUACCCAAAACGUGAUCUAGCUGAUUUGGUCGCGACCACCACGAUGAAUGGCAUCUUUAGUCCUCAAGAUACUCUUAUUGUGGAAUUACGAUGACCGUCGAUAAAUUAUUAGUAGCCGUAUUAUACUUUUGCAAUGUAAUAUUCGAUGAUCUUUUUAGUUUCUCCGCCACUCAGCUAGUAAGGUAUUUAUGAAGUUUGGUCUUUGUACAACAAUGUAAAAUAUGUAACAAUUUAAAAAACUGAGAAAAUGUACCCGUCAAAUCUGACAAUUCUCCUCCUCGCUGUCUCAGUUAUCGUCUUAUUAUUGAACCGCAUUGAAUUUUAUUCAUAGUCUAGUUAGUUCUCAGGUCAAAGUUAGUUUAUCGUUACGUUAAUUUCGCGUACAAAAAGACGAUAUUUGGCAAUGUCAGUUAAUUACAUAUUUAAGAGGAGUAUUUACAAAGUUGUAAAUUUCAGAUUUGAAUGUGAAUUGGUUGUAUGCAUUAUCUUAUCACUCACAUAAGAUCAAAUUUGUUUUGUUUUUGGGGGAACUUUGAGAAACCUCAUGACAGACCCCAGAUAAACUUUUCAGCUUCCUCUUGGCUCUUGACGUAGCAAAGAUAAGAAAUUUGAGGAUUACAACUUCAAGUGUUUUUUAUGAUUUUAAGUGGGCAAUUUUGAUAAGGUCUACCUUCUCACAUGAUGUUGGUUAAUUAGUUACAUAUGAAUUUAUUGUUCUUACUUGCGCACAUACUCAGCGAUUGGGCACGGCAUGUAAUUUAUGACAACAACAUAUAUAGAAGAAACGUAAAUAGCGUAGUUAAGUAGUAUAGUUAAUUAAUUAGUUCCGUUUUACAGUACAUCUGCAAUGAGACUUAUUAUUCGAGAACUUAUCGAGUCCUCAUCUGCUGUAUAUUUAGUAAGAUUUCAUAUUCAAAGUUUUAAAUCGUAAAAGUUAAUUGGAUCGAAGAAGCCCCUUCAAUGAAUUCUGUAAAACAAGAAAAUUUAAAUAAAUAAAGCAAGCAAAUAACGAGA